Molecule: ribosomal RNA, 501 nt
Filed under: uncultured bacterium
Lineage: Bacteria
Description: partial 16S ribosomal RNA
Rfam family: Bacterial small subunit ribosomal RNA
Source: RNAcentral
AUUGAACGCUGGCGGCAGGCUUAACACAUGCAAGUCGAGCGGGGGAAGGUAGCUUGCUACUGGACCUAGCGGCGGACGGGUGAGUAAUGCUUAGGAAUCUGCCUAUUAGUGGGGGACAACAUCUCGAAAGGGAUGCUAAUACCGCAUACGUCCUACGGGAGAAAGCAGGGGAUCUUCGGACCUUGCGCUAAUAGAUGAGCCUAAGUCGGAUUAGCUAGUUGGUGGGGUAAAGGCCUACCAAGGCGACGAUCUGUAGCGGGUCUGAGAGGAUGAUCCGCGACACUGGGACUGAGACACGGCCCAGAAUCCUACGGGAGGCAGCAGUGGGGAAUAUUGGACAAUGGGGGGAACCCUGAUCCAGCCAUGCCGCGUGUGUGAAGAAGGCCUUAUGGUUGUAAAGCACUUUAAGCGAGGAGGAGGCUAUUCUAGUUAAUACCUAGGGAUAGUGGACGUUACUCGCAGAAUAAGCACCGGCUAACUCUGUGCCAGCCGCCGCCGUAA